Molecule: ribosomal RNA, 280 nt
Filed under: uncultured bacterium
Lineage: Bacteria
Description: partial 16S ribosomal RNA
Rfam family: Bacterial small subunit ribosomal RNA
Source: RNAcentral
GAUGAACGCUGGCGGCGUGCUUAACACAUGCAAGUCGAACGAUGAAGCCCAGCUUGCUGGGUGGAUUAGUGGCGAACGGGUGAGUAACACGUGAGCAACCUGCCCCUGACUCUGGGAUAAGCGCUGGAAACGGCGUCUAAUACUGGAUACGAGUAGCGAUCGCAUGGUCAGUUACUGGAAAGAUUUUUUGGUUGGGGAUGGGCUCGCGGCCUAUCAGCUUGUUGGUGAGGUAAUGGCUCACCAAGGCGUCGACGGGUAGCCGGCCUGAGAGGGUGACCGG